Molecule: ribosomal RNA, 421 nt
Filed under: uncultured Actinomycetes bacterium
Lineage: Bacteria; Bacillati; Actinomycetota; Actinomycetes
Description: bacterial SSU rRNA
Rfam family: Bacterial small subunit ribosomal RNA
Source: RNAcentral
GCGGCCUAUCAGCUUGUUGGCGGGGUAAUGGCCCACCAAGGCAACGACGGGUAGCUGGUCUGAGAGGAUGGUCAGCCACACUGGGACUGAGACACGGCCCAGACUCCUACGGGAGGCAGCAGUGGGGAAUCUUGCGCAAUGGGCGAAAGCCUGACGCAGCAACGCCGCGUGCGGGAAGAAGGCUUUCGGGCUGUAAACCGCUUUCAGCAGGAACGAAAAUGACGGUACCUGCAGAAGAAGGAGCGGCCAACUAUGUGUCAGCAGCCGCGGUGAUACAUAGGCUUCAAGCGUUGUCCGGAUUUAUUGGGCGUAAAGAGUUCGUAGGCGGUCAAGUAAGUCGGGUGUGAAAAUUCUGGGCUUAACCCAGAGGCGCCACCCGAUACUGCUUAACUUGAGUUCGAUAGGGGAGACUGGAAUUCCU